UACGUAGGUGGCAAGCGUUGUUCGGAAUUAUUGGGCGUAAAGAGCGUGUAGGCGGCUCGAUAAGUCUGCUGUGAAAGUCCAGGGCUCAACCCUGGAAGGCCGGUGGAAACUGUCGGGCUAGAGUCCGGAAGAGGCGAGUGGAAUUCCCGGUGUAGCGGUGAAAUGCGCAGAUAUCGGGAGGAACACCAAUGGCGAAGGCAGCUCGCUGGGACGGUACUGACGCUGAGACGCGAAAGCGUGGGGAGCGAACAGG
RNAcentral lists this ribosomal RNA (253 nucleotides) under uncultured bacterium. Its description in RNAcentral is "partial 16S ribosomal RNA". It matches the Rfam family "Bacterial small subunit ribosomal RNA", at positions 524 to 776 of the family's 1533-position model. The record is from RNAcentral.